Molecule: ribosomal RNA, 500 nt
Filed under: uncultured bacterium
Lineage: Bacteria
Description: partial 16S ribosomal RNA
Rfam family: Bacterial small subunit ribosomal RNA
Source: RNAcentral
AUUGAACGCUGGCGGCAUGCCUUACACAUGCAAGUCGAACGGCAGCACGGGAGCAAUCCUGGUGGCGAGUGGCGAACGGGUGAGUAAAGUAUCGGAACGUGCCCAGUCGUGGGGGAUAACGUAGCGAAAGUUACGCUAAUACCGCAUACGAUCUAUGGAUGAAAGCGGGGGAUCGCAAGACCUCGCGCGAUUGGAGCGGCCGAUAUCAGAUUAGGUAGUUGGUGGGGUAAAGGCUCACCAAGCCGACGAUCUGUAGCUGGUCUGAGAGGACGCCCAGCCACACUGGGAGUGAGACACGGCCCAGACUCCUACGGGAGGCAGCAGUGGGGAAUUUUGGACAAUGGGCGAAAGCCUGAUCCAGCCAUGCCGCGUGCAGGAUGAAGGCCUUCGGGUUGUAAACUGCUUUUGUACGGAACGAAAAGGUUUGGCCUAAUAAGCUGAGCUCAUGACGGUACCGUAAGAAUAAGCACCGGCUAACUACGUGCCAGCCGCCGCAGUAA